GACGAACGCUGGCGGCGUGCUUAACACAUGCAAGUCGAACGGACAGGCCCUGCUUUUGUGGGUUGCUCGAGUGGCGAACGGGUGAGUAACACGUGAGUAACCUGCCCUUGACUUUGUGAUAACUUCAGGAAACUGGGGCUAAUACCGGAUAGGAGCUCCUGCUGCAUAGUGGGGGUUGGAAAGUUUCGGCGGUUCGGGAUGGACUCGCGGCUUAUCAGCUUGUUGGUGGGGUAGUGGCUUACCAAGGCUUUGACGGGUAGCCGGCCUGAGAGGGUGAACGGCCACAUUGGGACUGAGAGACGGACCAGACUCCUACGGGAGGCAGAAGUGGGGAAUAUUGCACAAUGGGCGGAAGCCUGAUGCAGCAACGCCGCGUGCGGGAUGACGGCCUUCGGGUUGUAAACCGCUUUCGCCUGUGACGAAGCGUGAGUGACGGUAAUGGGUAAAGAAGCACCGGCUAACUACGUG
RNAcentral lists this ribosomal RNA (468 nucleotides) under uncultured bacterium. Its description in RNAcentral is "partial 16S ribosomal RNA". It matches the Rfam family "Bacterial small subunit ribosomal RNA", at positions 28 to 507 of the family's 1533-position model. The record is from RNAcentral.